AUUGAAACACCGGUUCUUGUAUGAUCAAUGAAGUUAAGUAACAUCAAGCCUGGUCAGUACCUAGAUGGGUGACCACUUGGGAAUACCAGGUACUGUAAG
RNAcentral lists this ribosomal RNA (99 nucleotides) under Acanthosepion pharaonis. The record is from RNAcentral. Lineage: Eukaryota; Metazoa; Mollusca; Cephalopoda; Sepiida; Sepiidae.